Molecule: ribosomal RNA, 845 nt
Filed under: uncultured organism
Description: bacterial SSU rRNA
Rfam family: Bacterial small subunit ribosomal RNA
Source: RNAcentral
CCUCGGCUCAACCGAGGAUUUGCGGGGUGGACUGCCUGUCUUGAGGAAGCCAGAGCCUGUCGGAACGUUCGGUGGACCGGUGAAAUGCGUUAGAUAUCGAACGGAACGCCGAAGGGGUAGCCAGGCAGCUGGGCCUUACCUGACGCUGAGGCACGAAAGCGUGGGGAUCAAACAGGAUUAGAUACCCUGGUAGUCCACGCCGUAAACGAUGUGCACUAGCUCGAUGCAGAUCUGACUCUGUGUCGGGCGCCGAGAAAUCAUUAAGUGCACCGCCUGGGGAGUACGGUCGCAAGGCUAAAACUCAAAGGAAUUGACGGGGGCUCACACAAGCGGUGGAGCAUGUUGCUUAAUUCGAAGCAACGCGAAGAACCUUACCUGGGUUUGACAUGCACGGAUUAGUCAUUGGAAACAGUGAUGACGCUCUUCGAGUGGAACGUGCACAGGUGCUGCAUGGCUGUCGUCAGCUCGUGCUGUGAAGUGUCGGGUUAAGUCCCUUAACGAGCGCAACCCUUAUCGCUAGUUGCCAGCGCAUUAUGGCGGGGACUCUAGCGAGACUGCCGGUGUCAAACCGGAGGAAGGUGGGGAUGACGUCAAGUCCUCAUGGCCUUUAUGCCCAGGGUGGCAAACGUGCUACAAUGGCGUGUACAGAGCGACGCGAUACCGUGAGGUGGAGCAAAUCGCAAAAAGCACGCCCCAGUUCGGAUAGCAGUCUGCAACUCGACUGCUUGAAGCCGGAAUCGCUAGUAAUCGCGGAUCAGCCAUGCCGCGGUGAAUACGUUCCUGAGCCUUGUACACACCGCCCGUCAAGUCAUGGAAGCCGGGAGUGCCCGAAGUCGCUCUAACUC